GUGGCCUGGAGGAAGCGGGAGGAGGCGCGGGCAGCCGCCAGGGCGAGGCGACCCGGUGCGGGGGGACUCCCAUGGAGCGCGGACUCCUAAGGAAGUCGCUGGGAAUCCCACCGGCUGUACCGCAGGGCGUUAGUACCUAGAUGGCUUCGGUGCCCCCAAGCGAUGGGCUCAAGCUACAGGGCGGGCUUUGCACCUGGCCUUCUCAGCUCUGAGGCAGGCAGUGGGCAGCUUCGCCUCCACCCUCCGUCCAGCGCCCUUCCCAUGGGGCCAUCCGCCUCUCCCUAAGGCACUAAAAACCAGUGGAGGAGUCAGGCCAUGUUGGCAAAAAGGGCUCGGGCAGCAGCCCCAGACCUAUAGUCCUAAAUAUCCAUGUACCCAGCCCUGGGGUCGCGAGCCAUCUCAGGGACGACCCGAUUCCAGCGGAUGGAGAAGUUCCCUGAAAACACCUGCCUGGGAGGAGAGACGAGGGAACGAGAUUGGGCAAGUGGCAUCCGCCCAGCGGGCUUCUCAAAGGUUUUUAAAGCAGAAUGGGACGUAAUAGGAAGAUGUGUCUAGCAGAGAGUAAAAUAAAGGGGCAUUUAGAGGUGUGGGCACCUGGAUGAAAACAAAGGCUCCAAAGGGAUGAUGGUGAGGGUUACAGCCCACCACAGUAGACAGAGACACCAAGGAAGGAAUGCAGUCAGUGGCCCUGCGUAGACAGUCUCAGGAGAGAGCACACCAGCUCACCCCAGGACUCAUCCAAGGCUGGGGAUGGAUGUCGAUGCAGCAACUCUGGAAGGCAGAAGACAGUGCUUUACCAUGGAACUGAAACCAUGAAAAGUGAAACUGCAAAUGGGAGAGACUGCUGUAUAGUCACUGAAAAAUUAAUGGAUGAGCUCAACAGCAAAUUAGACACAACUGAAACCUUGGACCCAUGUGUGGAAGAUGACAGCAUCACCAACUGGAGGGUGCCUGGAUCCCUGAGUCACCACUUGAAGCAAAAAGGUCAAGAGUAGCCACCUGACCCAUAUCAGGCUAUGAAAUGAGCAGCAUCUGGUUGCUACAGCAACCCCAGCUCUGCAGGGUGUCCCGAUUACCAGCAGGCUCCCUGCACCUGCCUCAGGCUGAGAGCAGGCGGCUGCCGCCAAGGGGAACACCAAGGAAAUGCCCAUGUUCUGAUUCCAAGGUAAUGGCUCAGACCCAAGGGGAUUUUAUCUGUUCAAUGUGCAACCUGAUGAAGUUUUGUCCCAUGUUAAUAAUUUCAUUAAAAAUAUGGCCUUACAUCC
Homo sapiens (human) is the source of this 1265-nucleotide long non-coding RNA. Ensembl annotates it as long intergenic non-protein coding RNA 1664. NCBI's taxonomy places the organism in Eukaryota, Metazoa, Chordata, Mammalia, Primates, Hominidae. The record is from Ensembl.